CGGCACGGGUGAGUAACACGUAUCCAACCUGCCGUCUACUCUUGGACAGCCUUCUGAAAGGAAGAUUAAUACAAGAUGGCAUCAUGAGUUCACAUGUUCACAUGAUUAAAGGUAUUCCGGUAGACGAUGGGGAUGCGUUCUAUUAGAUAGUAGGCGGGGUAACGGCCCACCUAGUCUUCGAUGGAUAGGGGUUCUGAGAGGAAGGUCCCCCACAUUGGAACUGAGACACGGUCCAA
This 236-nucleotide ribosomal RNA is filed under the name uncultured bacterium. RNAcentral describes it as "partial 16S ribosomal RNA". It matches the Rfam family "Bacterial small subunit ribosomal RNA", at positions 100 to 334 of the family's 1533-position model. The record is from RNAcentral.